Potamilus streckersoni is the source of this 73-nucleotide non-coding RNA. NCBI's taxonomy places the organism in Eukaryota, Metazoa, Mollusca, Bivalvia, Unionida, Unionidae. The record is from the annotation of a GenBank genome assembly.
GAUCCGUUGUCCGAGUGGUUAGAGCGUCUACCUCGGAUGCGGGAGGUCGUGGGUUCGAACCCCGGCUGAGUCA